CCCUUAGAUGUUCUGGGCCGCACGCGUGCUACACUGAGUAAUUCAAUGGGUAAGGGAACGCUAGAGCAUUACCUAAUCUUGAAAUUUGCUCGUGAUGGGGAUCGACGGUUGCAAUUUUCCGUCGUGAACGAGGAAUACCUUGUAGGCGCAUGUCAUCAUCAUGCGCCGAAUACGUCCCUGCCCUUUGUACACACUGCCCGUCGCUCCUACCGAUUGAGUGAUCCGGUGAGGCUCUGGGACCUGGACGGAAAGAGCGUUUCGCUUGUUCUGUUUGGGAAACUUGGUCGAACCUUAUCAUUUAGAGGAAGGAGAAGUCGUAACA
This 322-nucleotide ribosomal RNA is filed under the name uncultured eukaryote. RNAcentral's name for it is "partial 18S ribosomal RNA". It matches the Rfam family "Eukaryotic small subunit ribosomal RNA", at positions 1470 to 1796 of the family's 1831-position model. The record is from RNAcentral.